CAAUUUGUACAUCUCUGCUUGUUCUUCCAUGAUGUCGACACGUCAGCAUAGGCCAGAAGUUAGGUGGAUUUGAAGACGAUGGUAGUAACCUAUUGCUUCCACAAAUUGUUAAUAUCAUACUGGACGAAAUACAGUUUUUGCAGAACUGCUACUUCUAUUGAUUUGAGAGUCCUGGGAAUCUAAAAUGUGUACUAGGGUGGACAGGAACGAGAUGAUCAUGAAGAUCGCAAAGUAAAACAAUUAUCGUGAAUGUGAUAAUAAAAGGAGUAUUCGCGUGCUUACUUCGCUUUCAAAGUCAAUCAUUCUGGUGUGGAUUUAUGUUUUCGAUCGUGUUUUCAAUAUGAUGUGCACGAUGCGCAGCAAAAAAUGAUUCAAGUGGUGAUUUAAAUCGAGCAGUGUUUCAAUACGAUUGGAAAAUUUGUGAAAUUGUCUUAACAGUCGUCACCUGAUCUAGUGCAUUCAUUGAAACAUCCGAAUCACGACACGUUUAAUUGAAAUGCAGAGAAUGCUUUCAAAUCACAUCAUUUAUAGCAGAUAUUACCGUAGAACGUAGAUUCAAUCCCAUAUUAAAGAUUCACUAUCAUAACACCUAAUGUCGUGCAAGUGAUAAGCUCAGAGUAGCGAGACGCAACAAACAUCGAUGAAGACUGGGUUUCGAAACGAAGGCAACGAGACUGAGAAGCUAGCGCUCUAUCACCACAACCAUUACGUCGUCUUUUGGUGAUCGUAAAUUUGUAAUUUUGACUUCGCCUUCGAUUAACCGAUCACUAUCGAAUUGGAUCUUUGCAGCCGCUUUAAGAAGUAUAGCAUAAAUUCAUCCCAAUUUUAAGAGCAAUAUGGAGGACAUCCUUGAUCCGCACCAAAUGAUCAAUAGGGCAAUUCUUUAAGAACUGCAGCAACUAUUUCAUGAAAAUCAGCACCAAGUGGUUUGGUUGUUCAUUGUUUCUGAGGCGGUACAGAGUUUGCCGCUAAUAAUAAAUAUAAACAAAAUUUGCGACCAAAAUCAUUUCUUUUCUGUACCGAAAGAUGAAAGAGAAUUGAAAUCACUUGUGUUGUCAGCUCUUUUAUACAGGUUGUAUAAAGACUUUCAAUGUUUUAUACUGGUAACGGUUGAUAUAACAGAGUUAGACCAACAGU
Long non-coding RNA from Hermetia illucens (black soldier fly), 1137 nucleotides. RefSeq lists it as uncharacterized. The transcript is spliced from 4 exons. Lineage: Eukaryota; Metazoa; Arthropoda; Insecta; Diptera; Stratiomyidae. The record is from RefSeq and is a predicted model, not a curated record.